AGAUUGAACGCUGGCGGCAUGCCUUACACAUGCAAGUCGAACGGCAGCACGGGGGGUAACCCCUGGUGGCGAGUGGCGAACGGGUGAGUAAUAUAUCGGAACAUGCCCUGUAGCGGGGGAUAACGCGUCGAAAGGUGUGCUAAUACCGCAUACGCUCUACGGAGGAAAGCGGGGGUCGCAAGACCUCGCACUAUAGGAGUGGCCGAUAUCGGAUUAGCUAGUUGGCGGGUAAAAGCCCACCAAGGCGACGAUCCGUAGCUGGUCUGAGAGGAUGAUCAGCCACACUGGAACUGAGACACGGUCCAGACUCCUACGGGAGGCAGCAGUGGGAAUUUUGGACAAUGGGCGCAAGCCUGAUCCAGCCAUGCCGCGUGAGUGAAGAAGGCUUCGGUUGUAAAGCUCUUUCGCAGGAACGAAAUGGUUCGUGCUAAUACCACGGACUGAUGACGUACCUGAAGAAGAAGCACGCUAACUACGUGCAGCAGCCG
RNAcentral lists this ribosomal RNA (488 nucleotides) under uncultured soil bacterium. RNAcentral's name for it is "bacterial SSU rRNA". It matches the Rfam family "Bacterial small subunit ribosomal RNA", at positions 26 to 517 of the family's 1533-position model. The record is from RNAcentral.